CGGACGGGUGAGUAUCGCGUAGGGAUUUAUCGUUGGGUGGGGACAACCGCGGGAAACUGCGGCUAAUACCGCAUGACGCCUUUGGGCCAAAGGUUCGGUGACGGACUGCCUGAUGAGGAGCCUGCGUCCGAUUAGCUAGUAGGUUGGGUAAUGGCUGACCUAGGCUGUGAUCGGUAGCUGGUCUGAGAGGAUGAUCAGCCACACUGGGACUGAGACACGGCCCAG
This 225-nucleotide ribosomal RNA is filed under the name uncultured bacterium. Its description in RNAcentral is "partial 16S ribosomal RNA". It matches the Rfam family "Bacterial small subunit ribosomal RNA", at positions 99 to 334 of the family's 1533-position model. The record is from RNAcentral.